GCCCCGUUGACAAAGUGGCAUAGCGUCAACUAGUAAUGACAAGAUCACUGGUUCGAUCCCAGUACAAGACG
Thelonectria olida is the source of this 71-nucleotide non-coding RNA. The record is from the annotation of a GenBank genome assembly. Lineage: Eukaryota; Fungi; Ascomycota; Sordariomycetes; Hypocreales; Nectriaceae.